Molecule: long non-coding RNA, 1189 nt
Organism: Fukomys damarensis (Damara mole-rat)
Lineage: Eukaryota; Metazoa; Chordata; Mammalia; Rodentia; Bathyergidae
Exons: 3
Source: RefSeq, a predicted model, not a curated record
AAUACAGCUGCGGCAGUGUGAGAGAGGAAUCUGUUUAAACACAGCGUAAUGUCUCAUUUCUACACAAUCCUCAAAAAAGACGCAAAAGCAAGUAUCAUUGGAUGAGUUGCUUUUUAAAGUUGCAUGAAAAGAAAAAGAUUCCGUGCAGCCAAGAGAGAGCAGCAAUUCCAUUAGUGAUAGCGAAAGUUGUGCUGCACAGUAACCCUCCUCCCUCUUGCCUCCCUCACACCAGCCACAAAGGUUUCUGAAGGUAGGUGCAGGUAUGGAUGCCCAGACUUGUAAUCCAAAUGCUCAUUGGAUUUCCAAAGAAUACAGAUUAAUACCUGUCUCUGCUGAAGCAAAGAAAAAUAGCCAAGUGACUUUUCUUUAAUUUUCAAAGCUCACGAGGGACAUUGCAUGCUGCUCUGUCCUCAGUGGACACAGGGCAUACUAUCAGGUGCAGUGCCACUGUGCUAAAUUCCCAGCCUCUCUGAGGACAUCUUAAUGGGAGGAAGGACCAGAGGCAUUGAAGAAGCUGAGCAUGAAGACAAAGUCACUAAUGCUAUCAGAAGGCAACUGCCCAUUUAGUUCCUUGGGAGAAGUUGGAAGACAAAGAGGGAGGAAACGGGAAUAGAGGUGUACAAAAGAAACCACACUGGCUUCAGUUCUGGUUCAGGCUAAGAUGAAUGUCUGUCAUCUUCAGCCAUACACCGGUGGUUCUGAACCUCAGCAUGGCCCAGAUGCUAUCACCCAGGUCCCCAAGUAGCCUAACCUUCAUCCAAAAGCUGAAGUGCAAGGGUGCUUUAUUUAAGGAGUCUGACGUUCCUGCCAGCCAGGGGCUGUGGUCCAGUGAUAAAGCUGCACUCCAGAAUAGGUCAACAGUAGGAGCCCACACCUCAGUAAACAACAUGAGUUGCAUUGCAUCCACCAUACAAGGCUCAGCACCAGCUGGCUGCCAAGGACUUCACAAAAGCCAACACAGGAAAGCAAAACAAAAUAAAUACAAGGAGGAAAAGCCAGUCUGCAGCUCUGACAGGAGGCCAAAGAAGUUGUGUAAGAAGAGGGAGAGCAAAGUAACUCCUGAUCUCUCCAGUAAUGAUACAGUUUUACAUACACCAAUAAAAUCUAAAAGAAGGGAGACAUGCUUGACUUUGGCUCAGUUCAAGAGAAAGGGCUCAACAGAAACUUGUAGUUAUAAGGAGAAGAUUGC